RNAcentral lists this ribosomal RNA (464 nucleotides) under Vreelandella stevensii. RNAcentral describes it as "partial 16S ribosomal RNA". It matches the Rfam family "Bacterial small subunit ribosomal RNA", at positions 338 to 795 of the family's 1533-position model. The record is from RNAcentral. Lineage: Bacteria; Pseudomonadati; Pseudomonadota; Gammaproteobacteria; Oceanospirillales; Halomonadaceae.
CCUACGGGGGGCUGCAGUGGGGAAUAUUGGACAAUGGGCGAAAGCCUGAUCCAGCCAUGCCGCGUGUGUGAAGAAGGCCUUCGGGUUGUAAAGCACUUUCAGUGGGGAAGAAAGCCUUGGGGCUAAUACCCUCGAGGAAGGACAUCACCCACAGAAGAAGCACCGGCUAACUCCGUGCCAGCAGCCGCGGUAAUACGGAGGGUGCGAGCGUUAAUCGGAUUACUGGGCGUAAAGCGCGCGUAGGCGGUCUGAUAAGCCGGUUGUGAAAGCCCCGGGCUCAACCUGGGAACGGCAUCCGGAACUGUCAGGCUAGAGUGCAGGAGAGGAAGGUAGAAUUCCCGGUGUAGCGGUGAAAUGCGUAGAGAUCGGGAGGAAUACCAGUGGCGAAGGCGGCCUUCUGGACUGACACUGACGCUGAGGUGCGAAAGCGUGGGUAGCAAACAGGAUUAGAUACCCGUGUAGUC